This 242-nucleotide long non-coding RNA is filed under the name Mytilus galloprovincialis (Mediterranean mussel). The record is from RNAcentral. Lineage: Eukaryota; Metazoa; Mollusca; Bivalvia; Mytilida; Mytilidae.
GUGCCGAAAUUAUAUACGAUAGCAAAAGAUGGACAUACGAAGGUUAACCGAAGACGGGUAUUUAAGCUUCAUAUCUCAGCCGAAGCCUACACGAUGGAUCACGAAGGCUACACGAUGGAUUACGAAGGCUACACGAUGGAUUACGAUGAUAGCGCGAUGACCAUACGAUGUCUAAAAGACGUCGUGUACAGCUUACGAUGCAUUUAAAUAAACUCAUCAUAGAUACCAGGACUAAAUUUUGU